This is a long non-coding RNA of Triticum aestivum (bread wheat), 1351 nucleotides long. RefSeq lists it as uncharacterized. Lineage: Eukaryota; Viridiplantae; Streptophyta; Magnoliopsida; Poales; Poaceae. The record is from RefSeq and is a predicted model, not a curated record. The transcript has 3 exons.
AGCCGCCGCCACUCUCUCGCUUCCCCUCGGCAUCUCCUCCCGAUUCAAUCCCCCCGACCACUUCCCUAGUUUUCAGCGCCGCCUAUCACAACAGCCUACCACCAUCCUCCGCCCGAGAAUCUGGUCGUCGCUCCCAACCUCGUCUGCCUGUGCUCUCUCCGCAGUCGCCCGAGGACGCGCCUCCCCUUCCCCGCACAGCCCGUGAGGCACCGGCCUCCUCAGCUCCUCCAGCUCCGCAAGCAUCUCGCCGGAGCACCGAAUCAGGCGUGCCUUCGCCCUUCCCUCUUGUUCCCCUUUCUCCUUCUAUAGCUCUCUCUCACGGCAUCUCUCCCCCGUGCUCUUCUUGCUGCAGGAGCAGCCGUGGACGCCGUCUCGCAAGCAGCAGCCGCCGCCGGCUUCCUCCGUCCCGUCCCAAAUGCUGAACCUAGAGCCCCGACGCCCGCCUCUCUGCCUCGCAGGAGUCACCACCGCGUUGUGUUGCUGGACAGGAGCCGAGCCGUCACCGUCCCAUCAGGAGGACGCCCGCGUCUCGCCACACCUCGACGCUGGCGCGCCUCCACAGCUACACCGGCCGGAUCCUUACCUGGAUGCCCCGUCCCGAUCCCUUCUUCAAGCAUGGCCGCCGCCCGUCUUCUUCAGGCAUGAGCUCCAUCGGGUCCGCCUCCCUGCUGUCGGAGCCCCAUGACCCUAGCGCCUCGCCUCUUCAAACGAACCAGGGACGAACGCCUCAUCGGAGCUCCGCAGGAGCUCAUCGCGCGCCGACCGUCCCGAGCUCCAAUCCGCGACUCCCCUUGCCGGAGUUGAACCCAGGCACCUCCCCGCGCUCAGUUCCGCCCGUUCUGGCCGGUUCCCGUCGACCCUGUCACCAAGACCCUUGCCAUUGUCUUCUCCAUUGCCAUGGCUCUGCUCCUGUUUCUGUUUCUUCAGGAACGAGAACAGCAGCAGCUCGUCUCACACGCGUUGACCGAGCAGAGGGCUAGCAGGCCCAGCAGCGCCCCCCUGCCGACCUCCCCUCUCCACCAGUCGGGCCUUGGCCCAUGUGAGCAGCGCCCAGCCCCUAUCCUGUAUUUGUUGGGCUAGGUGGUUUCAGCCCAUGGACAUAUUUUUUCCCCUGAACGAAUUUAUCUUUUAUUCCAGAGAACCCUGUUUUGCAGAAAAGUCCCUCAACAACAUGCAUAUAAUAACUCACAAUUCGUGCAUCGGUUCUAAAUAAAUUAUAUAUGAAAGUUGCUUAGAAUUUUGUUUAGUUUAAUAAUAUUCAACUUUCAUGUAUGAUUGAAAUGUUUAAAAUGCUAUUUGUUUAAAUUUGCUUAAAUAACUUGUUAAAAUGUUUUAAUUCAUAACUAAUUAA